UACAGAGGUCCCAAGCGUUGUUCGGAUUCACUGGGCGUAAAGGGUGCGUAGGCGGUCGGAUAAGUCUGAUGUGAAAUCUUCGAGCUCAACUCGGAAACUGCAUCGGAAACUAUUCGGCUAGAGGAUUGGAGGGGAGACUGGAAUUCUCGGUGUAGCAGUGAAAUGCGUAGAUAUCGGGAGGAACACCAGUGGCGAAGGCGACUACCUGGCCUGUUCUUGACGCUGAGGCGCGAAAGCUAGGGGAGCAAACGGG
Molecule: ribosomal RNA, 253 nt
Filed under: uncultured bacterium
Lineage: Bacteria
Description: partial 16S ribosomal RNA
Rfam family: Bacterial small subunit ribosomal RNA
Source: RNAcentral